This 76-nucleotide non-coding RNA is filed under the name unclassified sequences. Its description in RNAcentral is "RAGATH-18 RNA". It matches the Rfam family "RAGATH-18 RNA". Rfam says of the family: Actinobacteria, Firmicutes, Fusobacteria, Thermotogae (1 example). Nearby to self-cleaving ribozyme genes The record is from Rfam by way of RNAcentral.
CCUGUGGAUCGUUAUAUCAAAUGAAAGUAGUUAGCAAUAUUAUGUUGCAACAAAAUCAGACGGAAGGAAGCAGGAA